AUGAGGUAUUAGUAAAAUUUACAUAAUUUUGUCAAAAUUAAAUUACAGGUGGAACCCCUGUAUACCUCU
This 69-nucleotide transfer RNA is filed under the name Brachyphylla cavernarum (Antillean fruit-eating bat). RNAcentral describes it as "transfer RNA-Asp". Lineage: Eukaryota; Metazoa; Chordata; Mammalia; Chiroptera; Phyllostomidae. The record is from RNAcentral.